AGUGAACGCUGGCGGUAGGCCUAACACAUGCAAGUCGAACGGCAGCACAGUAAGAGCUUGCUCUUACGGGUGGCGAGUGGCGGACGGGUGAGGAAUACAUCGGGAUCUACUUUUUCGUGGGGGAUAACGUAGGGAAACUUACGCUAAUACCGCAUACGACCUACGGGUGAAAGCAGGGGAUCUUCGGACCUUGCGCGAUUGAAUGAGCCGAUGUCGGAUUAGCUAGUUGGCGGGGUAAAGGCCCACCAAGGCGACGAUCCGUAGCUGGUCUGAGAGGAUGAUCAGCCACACUGGAACUGAGACACGGUCCAGACUCCUACGGGCGGCAGCAGUGGGGAAUAUUGGACAAUGGGCGCAAGCCUGAUCCAGCCAUACCGCGUGGGUGAAGAAGGCCUUCGGGUUGUAAAGCCCUUUUGUUGGGAAAGAAAAGCAGCAGGUUAAUACCCCGCUGUUCUGACGGUACCCAAAGAAUAAGCACCGGCUAACUUCGUG
Molecule: ribosomal RNA, 492 nt
Filed under: uncultured bacterium
Lineage: Bacteria
Description: partial 16S ribosomal RNA
Rfam family: Bacterial small subunit ribosomal RNA
Source: RNAcentral